UACGAAGGGGGCUAGCGUUGCUCGGAAUUACUGGGCGUAAAGCGCACGUAGGCGGGUCUUUAAGUCAGGGGUGAAAUCCUGGAGCUCAACUCCAGAACUGCCUUUGAUACUGAAGAUCUUGAGUUCGGGAGAGGUGAGUGGAACUGCGAGUGUAGAGGUGAAAUUCGUAGAUAUUCGCAAGAACACCAGUGGCGAAGGCGGCUCACUGGCCCGAUACUGACGCUGAGGCACGAAAGCGUGGGGAGCAAACAGG
RNAcentral lists this ribosomal RNA (253 nucleotides) under uncultured bacterium. Its description in RNAcentral is "partial 16S ribosomal RNA". It matches the Rfam family "Bacterial small subunit ribosomal RNA", at positions 524 to 776 of the family's 1533-position model. The record is from RNAcentral.